RNAcentral lists this ribosomal RNA (800 nucleotides) under uncultured bacterium. Its description in RNAcentral is "bacterial SSU rRNA". It matches the Rfam family "Bacterial small subunit ribosomal RNA", at positions 8 to 808 of the family's 1533-position model. The record is from RNAcentral.
AGAGUUUGAUCAUGGCUCAGGAUGAACGCUGGCGGCGUGCUUAACACAUGCAAGUCGAACGAAGCGCUUUGACGGAACUCUUCGGAGGGAAGAUAAAGUGACUGAGUGGCGGACGGGUGAGUAACGCGUGGGUAACCUGCCUUACACAGGGGGAUAACAGUUAGAAAUGACUGCUAAUACCGCAUAACCCGCUAGUACCGCAUGGUACGGACGGAAAAGAUUUAUCGGUGUAAGAUGGACCCGCGUCUGAUUAGCUGGUUGGCAGGGUAACGGCCUACCAAGGCGACGAUCAGUAGCCGGCUUGAGAGAGUGGACGGCCACAUUGGGACUGAGACACGGCCCAAACUCCUACGGGAGGCAGCAGUGGGGAAUAUUGCACAAUGGGGGAAACCCUGAUGCAGCGACGCCGCGUGAGUGAAGAAGUAUUUCGGUAUGUAAAGCUCUAUCAGCAGGGAAGAAAAUGACGGUACCUGACUAAGAAGCCCCGGCUAACUACGUGCCAGCAGCCGCGGUAAUACGUAGGGGGCAAGCGUUAUCCGGAUUUACUGGGUGUAAAGGGUGCGUAGGUGGCCUGGCAAGUCAGAUGUGAAAACCCGGGGCUUAACUCCGGGACUGCAUUUGAAACUGUCGGGCUGGAGUGCAGGAGAGGUAAGUGGAAUUCCUAGUGUAGCGGUGAAAUGCGUAGAUAUUAGGAGGAACACCAGUGGCGAAGGCGGCUUACUGGACUGUAACUGACACUGAGGCACGAAAGCGUGGGGAGCAAACAGGAUUAGAUACCCUGGUAGUCCACGCCGUAAAUG